GGAAUAAUACGAGGAAAUAAAAAGGAGCAAGUGCUCGGAACCUCGAAAGAAAAGAAAAAGUGAGACGAGAGGUAAAAAUGGACAAGUGUCCGACAGUAGAAUUAGGGGUGCAAGAUACCCACCUGAGAGAAAAGAAAAAGAAGAGCAUCUCAUUCUCCUCAUAAAGUUUCAAAAGCAAGGAAGGUAUGUAUCCCAUCAAAGAGCAAAAGUAGAAUUAGACUUCCACCACCAUUGUUUUCAUCAUUGUUAUCACCAUCAUCACCAUACACCAUUCAUUCGCCACACAUGCACAUCUUGAUUAAACUUAUUGACUUGUUACUUUGGAUCCAUGGUUUGGCUAUGCAAUAAAUGUCUUGUAAGUAUGUAUACUUUAUCUCCCACCUAUGAGCUCCAGAUAUUAAAGCCUUAUUAGAGUAGGGUGAGAGAAAAGGCAACGUAACUAUGCCUCAUACCACAAAUACCACAUAUAUUGAGAGAAGGCAUAUACCAUCACUGCCUUGGUAAGGAUCCAAAAAUACCACAAAAGAGAGACCUGAGAGAAUCAUACAAGGAAUCUCUGAGUUUUAUUUGAAAAUCUGCAAGAAACCCCAGAGCUAUAGCUGAUCAAGAAUAAGAGACAUGGCACUUGGCUAGACUAUUCUAUCUUUUAACCACUCAAGACAGAAGUGACGGUUACAAGUCCCAUGGUGGAGGUAAAGUAAGUAAGUUUUAAGUCUUGACAGUUUACUCUAACUGAGAGAUGAGAUCUUAUUUAAAAGCAUGUGUACCGUCAAAUUUUUAAAAGAUAUUGCAACUACUUCUGGUCCAUAGCUGAGUCUAUCCUUGCUCAGGGACGAGCAAGAGGUAAGCUUGGGGGAGUUUGUUGACGGUCCUUAAGUAUCAAAUUUAAUUAUCAAAUAAAUAAAGAAAAGGAUCCAAAUGAAAUCAAGAUCUAGACUUAGGGUUUUAUCUGACAGAAUUCCAUGAGUUUUGGUGUUUGUCUAUUUCUGCGGGGGGUUAUCAGGAAAUAUGGAAGAAAGGCCCACAUGUCAGGAUUACGUAAAGAUAUUAACGUGCUGCGCAAUUAUCUUACAUCUAGAAGACUCCAGAAGCCACAAGACUGAAGCGGAGGCGAAACGGGGCCAGACCCUGGGCGGCCGCCCAGUUGGUCAGGGCGCCCGCCCACCCCCUGUGUCCAAUCAGGACUCUGCUUUGCGGGAGAUCUCCACCGACCUAAAGGAUGAAUCUAAACCAUACAAUCUAUGUCGGUUUGAUCCAAGGGCCCAUAUUCACUUGAAGGGACUAUAAAACCAGACCCCCUGGCCCCUGGAGGAGAGAGCCUCUCAACCCUAAUUCAUUGUUUCAUCAAGGGAGAAGAAGCCUCUGAUCAAGAUUAGAGCCACAACAUCAAUUAGACAUCUAGAUUAGCAUAGCUACAUAGGAUUAGAACUAGAAGGAGUCAAUCUUCGAUUGGUUUCCGGAUCUGUCAAGAGGAUUCUUGGUAAUGCUCUAAUUGUGCUUCUAAUUACUUUCUAAUUAUCUUUGUUCUUCAAUAUUAUGAAUAUGACUUUGUUCUACUUCAAUAUAUUGCUUAUGACUUUGCUCUACUUGCUUAUAUUCAAGAUUAUAUUGUUCUUAGUUUAUCAUAGUUAUGUACUUGGCUUAGUUAGAUACGAUCUAUAUACAUGCUUAGGAUCGUAUAGCGUUUGUCCAUCGGAUCCAUGGGUAAAUGAUAGAUAUUGUGUAGGCGUGGUGCUUAUACCGUAUUUAUCUGCGAUUGUACCCAAUAUGCCAGAUCGUGGGGUAGUUCGUGAUAGUGACAGCUUCAUUGAUUCUUAUAUAGUCCCCCUCUCGUGUAUUGGGCUGGCAGAGCAACAUUAUUACAGGGGUGUGAUUGCUAUGUUUCUCAUAUUCCUUGCUAAUAUCACUAUGCAUGGGCGUAGUCUUGUCUCGCAAUGAUUGCUAAGUAUGCUUGCACUAACUAUGAUAAUGCUAGACUAUAUAGUUAAGAAUAACUUAGGGAAUAUUCUUGUAGUUCGUUCUAAUACCAUGCUAAUGACUUUCUAGAGUAUCUAAUUGAGGUGCUUAUCAUAUUUAUUAUGUGGCUAGAUCAGAUUAGUUAUCCUUGUCACUGUUAUUAUUUCAUAUAUCUUUUAUGUGACACUUAUCCCUGUAUGAAGAGUUAGAUAUAAUGUUCUCAAUUAUACAUGCAAUGAUAGAUGCUCAAUCUCAUAUUCUAUUCUGUAAUCAUUAGUGAUGAUUUCUAAUCCCUUCUCAGUGGUAAAAAUAUAAAUAACGAUACCUGGAAUACUUCCCGGUUAAAAUGCUGCAUCGGUAUUAAUCUGUGCACUUGCAGAUCCCAUUCAUUAUUUAUUUAGAAGAGCAAUUGCAUAUUUCAAUACCGCGUCUCUCAUAUCAUGCUGGGGAUGACAACUUGGCUUAAGUGGUGUGAGGGAUAGGUUUGGCAUUUUUGGCACCGUUACUAGAUUUAGAGAACUUAGUCUACUUUUGGUAAUGAUGUUAAGAAUACCCAACAGUAGACAUGUUGUCUGCAAAGCUAGACCUGCUCAUGAAGAAGCUCGAUGAUAGAGCUGGAGACAAGAAAGAAGUUAUGCACAUCUACGACUCUCACAUGACUUGUGAGGAGUGUGGAGACACUGGACACUCAGGCAACCACUGCCCUGAGAUACUUGAGGAUGUGAACUACAUCAACAACAACAACAACAACUACUACAACCGUCCUCAACAAAAUCAAGGUUGGAAUCAACAGAGGCCUAACUACUUAGGUAAUUAUCAAGGUAACAAUUCUUAUAACAACAAUAGUAAUUUUCCACCUUUGAGAGAGUUAGUGUCUAAUCAAGGAAAGCUAAUGGAUAACCUAUCUAAGAAAUUGGCAUCUAAUGAUAAAAUGCUAGAAAAUAUAAAUAAUAGAAUGGAUAAUUUUUCUACUGCCAUCAAGAAUCAAAUUAGCUUUAAUAAAAUGAUUGAAUCUCAGUUAAAUCAAAUAGCUGCUGCUGUUCCUACUACUAACCCCGGUAUACCAUCACAACCGGAAGGAUUAGAAUCUGCAAAUCUUGUAGACGUGUUUGAUGCAGGUAAUUGGAGUAACCCCGUCACUGAAUUUUCUACUGACCGUCUGCCGGUCAAGAGAGGCGAUCCAGGACGCCCCGUCAUCCCGAUCUCCAUCGGCAUGGUGGACUUCCCAGAAGCACUCUGUGACUUUGGCUCUAGCGUCAACAUUAUACCCAGGGUACUCUAUGAAAAAUUCUUUACAUAUCCUUUAUUAGAGACAACCAUGUGUUUGCAGUUUGUAGAUCAGACGAUAACUUUUCCAAAAGGAAUAGUGAAGAACCUUUGUGUCCGAGUUGGUACCUUAUAUGCCCCAGCAGACUUCGUAGUGGUAGAGACCGGAAAUGAUGAGAGAGCACCUAUCAUCCUAGGGAGGCAAUUCUUGAACACCACAGGAGCUAUCAUCUACGCCAGUGCUGCCAAGAUCAGUUUCUACGUCAAAGGGAAGAAGGAGACAUUUUUCUUCAAGAACAAGACUACACAAAUUCCAAAUCAAUCCAGACGUGAAUCAAGAAAGAGGACCAACAGGAGGAACAGGGACAAGCAAGUGUGGACCGAGUCAGCUAAGAUGGUCACUGUAGUUCAUGGAGGUCAAGAUCACCAACUUAAGUCACCGUUUUUGACCAAGAAGGACGACCCAGGAAUGCCAAGCAUCUACUGCUCCAUAAAUGGAUACAACUUCUACAAGACGAUUUGCGACACCGGAUCGGGCGUCAACAUAAUGGCCGCAGUCACUUAUCGGCUCUUGUUCGGGACCAUGCCACUAAGACCAACAUACAUUCAACUCCAGAUGGCAGAUCAGACAUUUCGAGAAGUUCAAGGAAUAGUAUCUGAUGUCCCAGUCAAAAUAGACGAUCACUUUGUCUACACAGACUUUCAAGUUGUUGACAUGGGAGAAGACGAGUAUGAUCCACCCAUCAUCCUUGGAAGACCGUUCCUCAGCACCGUUAAAGCAAUUAUCUACAUUGGAACUGGAGAAGUCCAUAUGCACUUCCCCUCAGAGAAGGUACGCCGUUAUUUUACUGACCCUAACUAUAUCAUUGAAGAAUCUAAGCAGGUAAGAAAGCGACGCAACCGCAACCAGAGGAGGCAGAUCAUCAAGGACGGAUGGGCAGACUAUGAAGGAGAUGUUGUAAGGUCAGAAGACAUAGAGUUUAAACAGAAUUAUCCAGAGGAGAUUGAAGCACCGAGUCAGGUAUGGAAAAUGAAGAUAACUGUACAAGAAGAGGAGGCGCUGCCGGAAGUACCGACUACGCCACCCAACGAACCUCAGGACGAUUAAGAAAAUGGAGAGUCCCGUUCGGAGGACUUAAAAACACCAACGCCUUGCCAAGAGGUAAACUUGGUAGUUAUCAUUUCCCUUUCAAUUAUUUCAAAUAGUUUACUUAGUUAAUCAUAUUCACACUAUCUUAAAAAGAAAAUAAAAAUGUUAAAAACAGUAAGCCCCAUGUGAGUAGACGAGUGGCAUGAAACCCAUAGGUACAUUCACUGUGGUGGCAUAAAAAUAAAAUAAAUAUUUUUCUGCUUUAUAAAAACAAAAAUAUAAAAACAGGGAGUAAUAAUUAUUAGGAGUCUCAACAUGAUAAAGGCUAGAUAUUUAUGCUAACACUUAAUCAGUUCCACAAGCUUUGUUGUCUAUUUGAGCUCCACAGAAUUUAAGAAUCAAGAAGACUAGCAGACGGAGGACAUCCUAAUCGCUGUCAGAAUGCUGCUGACUUUCAAAUACACCUCUGCCACCUGCUAGCUACACCAAGAGAAAUUACGUCAAAAUUCAGCUUGGGGGAGAGCACCCCCAUUUAUCUAGAUAAGUAUUUCUAUCUAUCUUUAUACUUAUAUUAUUUUAGAAUAUAAAUAACUAUGAAAAAACCAAAUAAACAUUUUAUGCUUAUAUAUAUGCCUUUUGCUUAGUGUGUUUAAUAAAUAAAUAAAGUGGCUAUGCUAAUCUGUAUCUAAAUAAAACUUAAGCAUGGAUAUGAUAAAUAGUUGCUCUGCCUAAUUUGCAAAUUUUAAGUUCUCUCUCAAGUUUAGAUAUAACUGUUAUAAUUUAAAUAUUGCUCUAGACCUAAACUUGUGGGAUGAAAACUUGAUCUGAAGUCUAAGUUGUUAACGGAUAUGAUAUGGGAAGGUUGAGCUGCUGUUUAUCUGUUCCUAGAGAUGCUAGAAUUCUGGAGAAUUUUAUCUUUGAAAAUCUUUAAAAUCUUGCAUGAUGAGUUCCUGUAUGAUGAGAGCUUAAAUUCCUACCACAGCCAUAUAUGCAUGCUUGCUAGACUUUGAGCCACACAUUUAUUAUUUACUGCUUAUGAGCAUUAAGUGUGGUCAAGCUGUGUAGACCCUUAGGAGCUUGUCUUGUGGUUAAAUCAAGAUUUCACUUGCACGUCCACUCAUAUAUGCUACUUCUACUCCGGAAGUACCAUCCACAUAUAUCCAUCCAUUUCCAUCUCCAGAAUCACCCAAAAAUAUUCUACUCCUAAUCCGGGAGAGAAUAACCAAAAAUAUUUCUGUUUUUCCCUUGUGAAAUAAAUGCUCAAGUUAUCUUGUUACUACCACUUGCUAUAUUAUCUCAUGAGAUGAGUGCUCUAAAAAAAAGAGAUACGAGGAAAUAAAAAGGAGCAAGUGCUCGGAACCUCGAAAGAAAAAAAAAGAAAAGAAAAAGUGAGACGAGAGGUAAAAAUGGACAAGUGUCCGACAGUAGAAUUAGGGGUACAAGAUACCCACCUGAGAGACAAGAAAAAGAUAGAGCAUCUCAUUCUCAUCAUAAAGUUUCAAAAGCAAGGAAGGUAUGUAUCCCCUCAAAAGAGCAAAGUAGAAUUAGACUUCCACCCCCAUUGUUUCCACCAUUGUUAUCACCAUACACCAUUCAUUCGCCACACAUGCACAUUUUGAUUUGGCUUAUUGAUUUGUUUCUUUGGAUCCAUGGUUUGACUAUGCAAUAAAUGUCUUGUAAGUAUGUAUACUUUAUCUCCCACCUAUGAACUCCAGAUAUUAAAGCCUUAUUAGAGUAGGGUGAGAGAAAAGGCAAUGUCACUAUGCCUCAUACCACAAAUACUACAUAUCUUGAGAGAAGGCAUAUACCAUCAAUGCCUUGGUAAGGAUCCAAAAAUACCACAAAAGAGAGACCUGAGAGAAUCAUACAAGGAAUUUCUGAGUUUUAUUUGAAAAUCUGCAAAAACUCUAGAGCUAUAGCUGAUCAAGAAUAAGAGACAUAGCACUUGGCUAGACUAUUCUAUCUUUUAACUACUCAAGACAGAAGUGACAGUUACAAGUCCCAUGGUGAAGGUAAAGUAAGUAAGUUUUAAGUCUCGACAGUUUACUCUCACUCAGAGAUGAGAUCUUAUUUAAAAAGCAUGUGUACCGUCAAAUUUUAAAGAUAUUGCAACUACUUCUGGUCCAUAGCUGAGUCUAUCCUUGCUCAGGGACGAGCAAGAGGUAAGCUUGGGGGAGUUUGUUGACGGUCCUUAAGUAUCAAAUUUAAUUAUCAAAUAAAUAAAGAAAAGGAUCCAAAUGAAAUCAAGAUCUAGACUUAGGGUUUUAUCUGACAGAAUUCCACGAGUUUUGGUGUUUGUCUAUUUCUGCAGGGGGUUAUCAGGAAAUACGGAAGAAAGGCCCACAUGUCAGGAUUACGUAAAGAUAUUAACGUGCUGCGCAAUUAUCUUACAUCUAGAAGACUCCAGAAGCCACGAGACCGAAGCGGAGGCGAAACAGGGCCAGAGGCAGGGCGCCCGCCCUGUCCUACUGGGCGCCCGCCCCCUGUUGGAGUCCAAACAGGACUCUGCUUUGCGGCAAGUCUCCACCGACCUAAAGGAUGAAUCUAAACCAUACAAUCUAUGUCGGUUUGAUCCAAGGGCCCAUAUUCACUUGAAGGGACUAUAAAACCAGACCCCCUGGCCCCUGGAGGAGAGAGCCUCUCGACCCUAAUUUAUUGUUCCAUCAAGGGAGAAGAAGCCUCU
This 6995-nucleotide long non-coding RNA is filed under the name Sorghum bicolor (sorghum). RNAcentral describes it as "long non-coding RNA (SBIC_LNC008680)". The record is from RNAcentral. Lineage: Eukaryota; Viridiplantae; Streptophyta; Magnoliopsida; Poales; Poaceae.